Molecule: ribosomal RNA, 253 nt
Filed under: uncultured bacterium
Lineage: Bacteria
Description: partial 16S ribosomal RNA
Rfam family: Bacterial small subunit ribosomal RNA
Source: RNAcentral
UACAGAGGGGGCAAGCGUUGUUCGGAAUUACUGGGCGUAAAGGGCGCGUAGGCGGCCCGCUAAGUCGAACGUGAAAUCCCCGGGCUCAACCUGGGAACUGCAUUUGUGACUGCAUAGCUAGAGUGCGGCAGAGGGAGAUGGAAUUCCGCGUGUAGCAGUGAAAUGCGUAGAUAUGCGGAGGAACACCGAUGGCGAAGGCAAUCUCCUGGGCCUGCACUGACGCUCAUGCACGAAAGCGUGGGGAGCAAACAGG